AUAUCUUGUAGCUCAGCUGGAUAGAGUACUCGGCUACGAACCGAGCGGUCGGAGGUUCGAAUCCUCCCGGAUGCACCA
Molecule: transfer RNA, 78 nt
Filed under: Escherichia coli
Lineage: Bacteria; Pseudomonadati; Pseudomonadota; Gammaproteobacteria; Enterobacterales; Enterobacteriaceae
Description: tRNA-Arg
Rfam family: tRNA (bases 7-69)
About the family: Transfer RNA (tRNA) molecules are approximately 80 nucleotides in length. Their secondary structure includes four short double-helical elements and three loops (D, anti-codon, and T loops).
Source: RNAcentral